This 460-nucleotide ribosomal RNA is filed under the name uncultured bacterium. RNAcentral describes it as "partial 16S ribosomal RNA". It matches the Rfam family "Bacterial small subunit ribosomal RNA", at positions 338 to 795 of the family's 1533-position model. The record is from RNAcentral.
CCUACGGGAGGCAGCAGUGAGGAAUAUUGGUCAAUGGACGAGAGUCUGAACCAGCCAAGUAGCGUGAAGGAUGACUGCCCUAUGGAUUGUAAACUUCUUUUAUCAAGGAAUAAAACGAGGCACGUGUGCCUUUUUGCGUGUACUUUAUGAAUAAGGAUCGGCUAACUCCGUGCCAGCAGCCGCGGUAAUACGGAGGAUCCGAGCGUUAUCCGGAUUUAUUGGGUUUAAAGGGUGCGUAGAUGGGUUGUUAAGUCAGUUGUGAAAGUUUGCGGCUCAACCGUAAAAUUGCAAUUGAUACUGGCAGUCUUGAGUAGAGUUGAGGUAGGCGGAAUUCGUGGUGUAGCGGUGAAAUGCUUAGAUAUCACGAAGAACCCCGAUUGCGAAGGCAGCUUACCAAACUGUGACUGACAUUGAUGCUCGAAAGUGUGGGUAUCAAACAGGAUUAGAUACCCCUGUAGUC